This 84-nucleotide transfer RNA is filed under the name Elusimicrobia bacterium RIFCSPLOWO2_01_FULL_60_11. Its description in RNAcentral is "tRNA-Leu". It matches the Rfam family "tRNA". From Rfam's summary of the family: Transfer RNA (tRNA) molecules are approximately 80 nucleotides in length. Lineage: Bacteria; Pseudomonadati; Elusimicrobiota. The record is from RNAcentral.
GCCCAGAUGGCGGAACUGGCAGACGCGUGAGACUCAAAAUCUCAUGUCCUUACGGGCGUGUGGGUUCGAUUCCCUCUCUGGGCA